This 774-nucleotide long non-coding RNA is filed under the name Chlamydomonas reinhardtii. RNAcentral describes it as "long non-coding RNA (CREI_LNC000468)". Lineage: Eukaryota; Viridiplantae; Chlorophyta; Chlorophyceae; Chlamydomonadales; Chlamydomonadaceae. The record is from RNAcentral.
UGUCGCUGAUGGACAGCUUGGCAUCGCGCAGGGCCUGCUGCACCGGCACCUUGCAGCGCUCCAGCAGGUCGUUGCACAUCUCCUCGAACUUGGCGCGGGUCAGCUGGGUGUCGAUGUGCUUGGGACCAUCGGCGGUGGCAGUAAUGAAGGGCAGGUUGAUGGAGGUCUGGGCCAUUCCCGACAGCUCAAUCUUGGCCUUCUCGGCCGCCUCGGUCAGGCGCUGUGUGGGUGGGAAAGGGGCAGAGUAGUCGGGUCAGCAAGCCGCACGACAGCGCUGAACGGGACUGGUUCAGCCAACCCUUGAAUAGCAUCAGACUGCGCAAACGCCAUGUGCUCCGAUCCAUCCCCUUCCCUCCCGACACUAGUAUCCGGCCCUCUCCACGCCUCGACAGCCAACACACGACCCACUCUUCACGCCUUCAAGCCCCAGCCUACCCCUCCUCAAGAACCCUGGCUCAAUCGCCUCCGCCGCUCACCUGUAGUGCCUGGCGGUCCUUGCGCAGGUCAAUGCCCUCGCUCUUCUUGAAGUCAUCAGCCAGGAAGUCCACGAUGCGCUUGUCGAAGUCGUCACCGCCCAGGUGGGUGUCGCCGCUGGUGGACAGCACCUCGAACACGCCGUCGCCCACCUCCAGCACCGACACAUCGAAGGUGCCGCCGCCCAGGUCGAACACCAGGAUGGUCUCGUUGGCCUUCUUGUCAAAGCCGUACGCCAGCGAGGCGGCGGUGGGCUCGUUGAUGAUGCGCAGCACCUCCAGACCGGCAAUCUUGCCCGCG